CACUUCCGUUAGAGGCGGCUACCUAAAUUCUAAAUUUAGUAGUCUGAGAUGUACUCUUUAUUACCUGACCGAGAUAAUGCUCGCGUAGGGAAACGGAUAACCAAAAUU
RNAcentral lists this non-coding RNA (108 nucleotides) under Candidatus Peregrinibacteriota. RNAcentral describes it as "Candidatus Peregrinibacteria TPP sequence". It matches the Rfam family "TPP riboswitch aptamer (THI element)". Rfam says of the family: Vitamin B(1) in its active form thiamin pyrophosphate (TPP) is an essential coenzyme that is synthesised by coupling of pyrimidine and thiazole moieties in bacteria. The record is from RNAcentral.